GCAUCUAUAGCUCAGCUGGAUAGAGUGUUGGACUUCGAAUCCAAAGGUCGCAGGUUCGAACCCUGCUAGGUGCG
RNAcentral lists this transfer RNA (74 nucleotides) under Candidatus Arthromitus sp. SFB-mouse-Japan. Its description in RNAcentral is "tRNA-Arg". It matches the Rfam family "tRNA". Rfam says of the family: Transfer RNA (tRNA) molecules are approximately 80 nucleotides in length. Their secondary structure includes four short double-helical elements and three loops (D, anti-codon, and T loops). RNAcentral also lists the same sequence under 6 other names. The record is from RNAcentral. Lineage: Bacteria; Bacillati; Bacillota; Clostridia; Eubacteriales; Clostridiaceae.